CAUCAACUGUACUGCACCCAGGGAAGCUAACCUUGGUCCUAGGGGUUCUCACCCCAGGCUACCCAGACAGAAUGGGUCCCAGACCUGGGCAGGGGUGGGGCAGGCUCAAACUGAGACACAGUUCCCCAGCUGGCAGCCAACUGCUCAGCCUGCUCCACCCCACAGGUGACAUUCCAUGGAGGUGACGACGGGGCCAAGCUGUACCAGCCUGGGACUUCCUUGUAGCCUCAACUCCACUAUGAUGGUCAAAUUCCCUUGUAGGGGGGCUUAGCCAAAUCCUGAGAGCUCCUGGGUAGGGCUGGCAUUAGAAGAAGUGGGAGAAGCCCUCCUGCCAAUCUCUCCAAGAGGGCAGAUCUGGUCUACUGGGGACAGGAAAACAGACUUUAGCACCAGGAUCCCAGAGCUCCCCAACCCACUGACCCUGUGCCCACUGCCUGGGCUGGAGUGGAGCACAGAAUGUUUCCCACCCUCCCCAACACUCAGGUAUUCAGGAAGGCAGUACCAGGUCACACACUGCAGUGACCCACCCAGCUGUCCUAGCCAGGCUUCAAAGAGGCGUCCAGCAUGCUCCAGGGACCCUAAACCACCUCCUCUCAGAUUCCUGCUCUGAGCCUGGGGCUGGAAAUGCAACUCUACAGAGAGUCAGCAGGUGGGACAAAAGCUGGCCCUGCCUGCCUCUUCUACCCAGGUGCUGGGCGGCACCACUGGCCACCCCAGCCAGGUGCAUGAGCCUCAGUG
This 738-nucleotide long non-coding RNA is filed under the name Marmota monax (woodchuck). Lineage: Eukaryota; Metazoa; Chordata; Mammalia; Rodentia; Sciuridae. The record is from RNAcentral.